GGAGAGAUGGCUCAGUGGUUAAGAGCACUGACUGUUCUUCCAGAGGUCCUGAGUUCAAUUCCUAGUAACUACA
Non-coding RNA from Mus musculus (house mouse), 73 nucleotides. Lineage: Eukaryota; Metazoa; Chordata; Mammalia; Rodentia; Muridae. The record is from Rfam.